AAUAAGUGCAGUUUUGCACUAUUCACGUUCAACGUUUGACCGUCCGUCUUAUUUGAAAAAUUUNUAAUCAUAAAAAAUUUUUAAAUAAGACGGACGGUCAAACGUUGAACGUGAAUAGUGCAAAACUGCACUUAUU
RNAcentral lists this microRNA precursor (136 nucleotides) under Oryza rufipogon (brownbeard rice). RNAcentral describes it as "MIR812 microRNA precursor family". It matches the Rfam family "MIR812 microRNA precursor family". The record is from Rfam by way of RNAcentral. Lineage: Eukaryota; Viridiplantae; Streptophyta; Magnoliopsida; Poales; Poaceae.